AAUCCGGAGUCUUUUACAAAGCGGAGAAAUUUUCACCGAUCGCUCUCGUCUCCAGCUAAAUUUCUGAAGCCUCGUCAGAAAUCGGACGGAGCAAAAGGCAUGGACAAAAAUAAAUCAAGUGAUGCCUUGGAUGAGAUACCGACUUUCAAUGUCGAUAAUAUUCAAAACAACACGAGAAUUAUUAAUUACAGCCGCACAUUUAUGUCAAUUAUAGGCGGAGUUAUUGCCGGAAUUUUGGGAGUCAAUGGGUUGACUGGAAUUGUAUUCUAUUUCCUUGUCAUGGCAAUUACUACCGCGGGACUUGCUGCAAAGACUGAGUUUUCUGUUCAUUCUUAUUUUGAUAGCUGGAACAGGAUUGUAUUUGACGGCAUUUUAGGCGGACUUAUGGUAUGCAAUUCUUCUUCUUCUUUUUUU
Erythranthe guttata (spotted monkey flower) is the source of this 414-nucleotide non-coding RNA. Lineage: Eukaryota; Viridiplantae; Streptophyta; Magnoliopsida; Lamiales; Phrymaceae. The record is from RefSeq and is a predicted model, not a curated record.